Molecule: ribosomal RNA, 495 nt
Filed under: uncultured bacterium
Lineage: Bacteria
Description: partial 16S ribosomal RNA
Rfam family: Bacterial small subunit ribosomal RNA
Source: RNAcentral
GACGAACGCUGGCGGCGUGCCUAAUACAUGCAAGUAGAACGCUGAAGGAGGAGCUUGCUCUUCUGGAUGAGUUGCGAACGGGUGAGUAACGCGUAGGUAACCUGCCUGGUAGCGGGGGAUAACUAUUGGAAACGAUAGCUAAUACCGCAUAACAGUAGAUGUUGCAUGACAUUUGCUUAAAAGGUGCAAUUGCACCACUACCAGAUGGACCUGCGUUGUAUUAGCUAGUUGGUGGGGUAACGGCUCACCAAGGCGACGAUACAUAGCCGACCUGAGAGGGUGAUCGGCCACACUGGGACUGAGACACGGCCCAGACUCCUACGGGAGGCAGCAGCAGGGAAUCUUCGGCAAUGGACGGAAGUCUGACCGAGCAACGCCGCGUGAGUGAAGAAGGUUUUCGGAUCGUAAAGCUCUGUUGUAAGAGAAGAACGAGUGUGAGAGUGGAAAGUUCACACUGUGACGGUAUCUUACCAGAAAGGGACGGCUAACUACGUG